CAAAAAUAUGUCUAUUUAUACACAAUAAUAUUGAUCAAUGGUCCCACAAUAACAUGCUGCUGAUACUUUAAUUAAGGUACAUUAUCAGGCCUUAAAAUAUCUUUUACAGGGCCGUCUGACAAAAUGUCCGGUGAUGUUGAAUUUGGGUCGGACAUAUGUCCGAUGACCUUCAGUUCAGUUUGACUCGGAAAUAAGUCUGAAUGACACAAAUGAAUAAAUGGUAAAUGUUGUAAAGAUAUUAAAUAAUUUGUUCCUUUCAUACUUAUUUCCAAGCCAAAAUUAACUUGCUUUCCAGAACAGCAGUAUUAAAAAAAAGAUUUCGACAAAGUAAGCCCGUCUUCCACUUCACCAUUUCGCUCGCCGCCCCACGCUCGACUACGUUAAUUAAAACAACAUUUCCAGUUCACCUUUUAUACAAUUACUCGGAUUUUCCAUUUAACAUACAAGCCUCUAGUCCUGGGCUAGGGUACAUUUUGAUUUACGUCGGACAAAGCUACAGUUUGGUCGGACACCAAUACACUCGGGUCGGACAAACAAUAAACCUCAGUUUCACCUUGGUCGGACAGAAUGUCCGGUGGUUUCCUUUCUACGUCGGACAAUUUCACGAAUGGGUCGGACAAUGUCCGUGACCGACCGAUAUUUUAAGGCCUGUACAUUAUAUGAGAAUACAAAAAUAACCUGCAUAUAAUGCACCUAUCAAUGUUAACUCCCAAAGGGGGGGGGGGGUUGGGCAUAUGUGGGGUAUUUGAUCAUUAAUUGCAUCUCCACCCCAGGGAUUUUGAUUAGCCAUAGUUAACUAUGGAUUAGCAUUUGGGCCCAAGUUAGGGCAAUUUGAAUCAAAAUUAUUUUUAUUAAUAUAGUAUUUAUUGCGAUUUAUUGCAAAAUGGUAGGGUAUUUGACCAAUAUUUAUUGCCCAACAGUGGGGCAUUUGACCCCCCUCUCUGGGGCUUAACAUUGAUAGGUGCAUAAGAACCACCAUUUCUCAAACUUUGUCUGAAUUAGUUGUGUAACAGCAUUUAUACAAAAUACUGUUAAAAAAGGCCAAGUGGGCCUUCACUGCUAUAAAAGGCAUUCUAUUCAAUGGCAUUAUAGGACCAACAUUUCCAUGGCGUUGUUCUCCAAAGCAUCGAGCAGCGUUAUAAAUCAGAUUGUCUUUUUUACCAGCAUGAAGUACAGACAUAGCCUUGGCAACAAUUGGGAUGAGGGACAAAUUUAGCAUCUAAACCAGGAGCAUCUAAACCAGCAUCUUUACCAGCCAUUUUUGAAACGGGUGGAUGAGUAGCUGUUCUUGUUGUCACUGCAUGGGUUAGUUUUGAAAAUCCAGAAGUUAUGUCAAGUCAUCAUAUCAUAUCAGUA
This is a non-coding RNA of Paramuricea clavata, 1356 nucleotides long. NCBI's taxonomy places the organism in Eukaryota, Metazoa, Cnidaria, Anthozoa, Malacalcyonacea, Plexauridae. The record is from the annotation of a GenBank genome assembly.